GUUGUUUCUAUAUCUGUGUGUGUUUUCCAGGUGGGUCGGUCUCAGAUCUUCCUGGUCAGUCCAGACACUAAGAAGGUUGCCAUAGAGAAGAGCUUCAGAGAAAUAUCUUUCUGCUCACAGGGUAUUCAUCAUGUGGAUCACUUUGGGUUCAUCUGUAGAGAGACAGUAGAAGGAGGGAGCUGUACGUUCGUCUGCUAUGUCUUCCAGUGUACUGAUGAAUCCCUGGUGGAUGAGAUCAUGUUGACUUUAAAGCAGGCGUUCUCUGUGGCCGCCCUGCAGCAGAGUGUAAGGACCAGGAGCCAGCAGUGUGACAGUUGCCCCAUGCAGCAGCUGCACAGGCUGUGUGAGAGGAUAGAAGGUCUCCUCCCGUCUAAAGCCAAGCUGGAGUUUCAGAAACAUCUGGCCACACUGGACAACCAGGAACAAGCUGCCGUGUUCGAGAACACUGUGAGGGCCAGUCCUAAGAGUGACCAGGAGGAGAAUGAGCUGGUGAUGGGGUCUUUGAGGAGUCUGUAUGAACAGAAACAGAGGAGUCAUCAACACACAGAUCACAGACCGGUACAAUA
Oncorhynchus gorbuscha (pink salmon) is the source of this 566-nucleotide long non-coding RNA. RefSeq lists it as uncharacterized. The transcript is spliced from 5 exons. NCBI's taxonomy places the organism in Eukaryota, Metazoa, Chordata, Actinopteri, Salmoniformes, Salmonidae. The record is from RefSeq and is a predicted model, not a curated record.